CCUACGGGUGGCAGCAGUGAGGAAUAUUGGUCAAUGGGCUAAGGCCUGAACCAGCCAAGUCGCGUGAGGGAUGACGGUCCUACGGAUUGUAAACUUCUUUUGUCGGGGAGUAACGAGGCCACGUGUGGCCGAAGUGUGAGUACCCGAAGAAAAAGCAUCGGCUAACUCCGUGCCAGCAGCCGCGGUAAUAGGGAGGAUGCGAGCGUUAUCCGGAUUUAUUGGGUUUAAAGGGUGGGUAGGCGGAACAUUAAGUCAGAGGUAAAAUCGUGGGGCUCAACCCCGUUAAGCCGUUGAAACUGGUGAUCUUGAGUGGGCGAGAGGUAUGCGGAAUGCGUGGUGUAGCGGUGAAAUGCAUAGAUAUCACGCAGAACUCCGAUUGCGAAGGCA
This 387-nucleotide ribosomal RNA is filed under the name uncultured bacterium. RNAcentral's name for it is "partial 16S ribosomal RNA". It matches the Rfam family "Bacterial small subunit ribosomal RNA", at positions 338 to 723 of the family's 1533-position model. The record is from RNAcentral.